UACAGAGGUCUCAAGCGUUGUUCGGAUUCAUUGGGCGUAAAGGGCGCGUAGGCGGCGGGGUAAGUCGGGUGUGAAAUCUCAGAGCUCAACUCUGAAACUGCACUCGAUACUGCUCUGCUUGAGGACUGGAGAGGAGACUGGAAUUCACGGUGUAGCAGUGAAAUGCGUAGAUAUCGUGAGGAAGACCAGUAGCGAAGGCGGGUCUCUGGACAGUUCCUGACGCUGAGGCGCGAAGGCCAGGGGAGCAAACGGG
Molecule: ribosomal RNA, 253 nt
Filed under: uncultured bacterium
Lineage: Bacteria
Description: partial 16S ribosomal RNA
Rfam family: Bacterial small subunit ribosomal RNA
Source: RNAcentral